CUAUGCGCCUUGCCAGCCCGCUCAGGUGUGCCAGGCAGCCGCGGUAAUACGUAGGGGGCUAGCGUUAUCCGGAAUUACUGGGCGUAAAGGGUGCGUAGGUGGUUCUUAAGUCAGAGGUGAAAGGCUACGGCUCAACCGUAGUAAGCCUUUGAAACUGGGGAACUUGAGUGCAGGAGAGGAGAGUGGAAUUCCUAGUGUAGCGGUGAAAUGCGUAGAUAUUAGGAGGAACACCAGUUGCGAAGGCGGCUCUCUGGACUGUAACUGACACUGAGGCACGAAAGCGUGGGGAGCAAACAGG
Molecule: ribosomal RNA, 298 nt
Filed under: uncultured bacterium
Lineage: Bacteria
Description: partial 16S ribosomal RNA
Rfam family: Bacterial small subunit ribosomal RNA
Source: RNAcentral